GUCUUUUGCGCACUUGUUGUUUCCUGGGCGGGUUUCGCCCGCCACCAGGACCAAACCAUAAACCUUUUUCUUAUGCAGUUUCCAUCAGCGUCAGUAAAAACAAUGUAAUAAUUACAACUUUCAACAACGGGAUCUCUUGGGUCUGGCAUCGAUGAAGAACGCAGCGAAAUGCGAUACGUAGUGUGAAUUGCAGAAUUCAGUGAAUCAUCGAAUCUUUGAACGCACAGUUGCGCCCUUUGGUAUUCCAAAGGGCAUGCCUGUUCGAGCGUCAUUUGUACCUUCAAGCUUUGCUUGGUGUUGGGCGUUUUUGUCUCCCUCUUUGCUGGGAGACUCGCCUUAAAACGAGUUGGCAGCCGGCCUACUGGUUUCGGAGCGCAGCACAUUUUUUGCGCUUUGUAUCAGGAGAAAAGGACGGUACUCCAUCAAGACUUUUACAAUUUUAACUUUUGACCUCGGAUCAGGUAGGGAUACCGCUGAACUAAGCAUAUCAUAAGCGGAGA
Molecule: unclassified non-coding RNA, 500 nt
Filed under: Bipolaris cynodontis
Lineage: Eukaryota; Fungi; Ascomycota; Dothideomycetes; Pleosporales; Pleosporaceae
Description: sequence contains ITS1, 5.8S rRNA gene, ITS2
Rfam family: 5.8S ribosomal RNA (bases 116-271)
Source: RNAcentral